This 1063-nucleotide long non-coding RNA is filed under the name Felis catus (domestic cat). RNAcentral describes it as "lncRNA (ENSFCAG00000043227.2)". Lineage: Eukaryota; Metazoa; Chordata; Mammalia; Carnivora; Felidae. The record is from RNAcentral.
AAAUACAGAGAACAAACUGAAGGUUGCUGGAGGGGGGAGAAGAUAAGUGGGUGAUGAGCGUUAAGGAGGGCACCUGCUGGGAUGAGCACUGGGUCUUAUAUGUAAGGGAUGAAUCACUAAGUUUGACUGCUGAAACCAUUAUUACACUAUAUACUAACUACCUUGGAAUUAAAUAAAAUUAAAAAAAAAAGAAAUGCUCAAACAUGUUUAUUGACUGAGGAAGAUGAGCCAGGAAAUUAAAAAAAAAAUUAAAAAUAGGGUUAAAGAUAUCCACUGAAGAAGCUGAAUGUCUAAUGGAGAAAAUCUUGGCAGAGCAGGGAGGAGAUGGGGCCAUAAACACUGAAAGAAUUUAGAUUUAAACAAAAAGUGGUGUAUCCUUCCUUCUGAUACUAGCAAGAAGAAGCAAGAUUGAUGACAGAUAUAAACUAGUCUGCAAGGCUGUAUGUGAAAGUCUAUCACAGCUAUCGCCUUGGAUUUCUAGAUGGACAAGGAAGCAGGACCAUGGGAUGAGAAUGAGAGUUUUAUGAACAAGCCAGAAAAUGCUCAGCACAGAAGCCUCCCUACUACCAGAAAAAAAUCAACUUUAACUUUAAACCUCACACCGAUACAGUUAGGUAAGUAAUUUUUUUUAAUGAUUAGCAGAAUAACUUUGAAAGGAGUAGUGUUACUGUAUUAUAAGGUAUGCCUAUUGGAUAUCAGCCUAACUCUUCUCACUUCCAAAAGGAAAACAUGACUUCACUGUAAUAGCAAAACAAAAAAAAAAUGGUAUAUGAGCAUCUGAUAAAGUGUUUUCCCCCUUGAUUUAUGUAGAAGAGUAAAAAGUAUAAGAAAACUUAAAGGCAAUCAAAUCCGUUAAUUAUUUACACCACAACUUACAAGUGAGCCAUCUAAACUUUUACUUACUGUUCUCUCUGGUGAAAUUGCACUUGAUAAGAAAAAAAAGUUGACUUUUUAUUCCAAGGUCUUGCUUGGAAGGUAUUCCAUUAAUAUCAGGAAUAAUCAGGUGCUAGAAGAAAAAAAUGAACCCAUGCUAUUAAGGAAGUGCUAUGUAUUUUAGUGAACA